This 1568-nucleotide unclassified non-coding RNA is filed under the name uncultured fungus. RNAcentral's name for it is "sequence contains 18S rRNA gene, ITS1, 5.8S rRNA gene, ITS2, 28S rRNA gene". The stretch from base 641 to 1568 matches the Rfam family "Eukaryotic large subunit ribosomal RNA", at positions 1 to 961 of the family's 3401-position model. Lineage: Eukaryota; Fungi. The record is from RNAcentral.
GGAAGGAUCAUUGAAUCUAUCAACAACCACACCAAUUUAUCGUGAACCAAUUAUAAAGGUCGGCCCCUUUCUGUCAAAGGAAAGCGUGAGCCAUGGGUUUUGGGUGUAAGAAGCCUGGAGCCCAUGGCGCAGGGCUGUGUCACUUAAAACCUGACGUCGGCCCGGCCCUUUCAUUAACCAACAACACCAAACCAAACCAAUCUGAAGCAAUCAGUGUAGCCGGCUUGGCCGUCCUACACGUCUAACCAAGACAACUCUCAACAACGGAUAUCUUGGCUCUCGCAACGAUGAAGAACGCAGCGAAAUGCGAUACGUAGUGUGAAUUGCAGAAUUCCGUGAAUCAUCAAGUCUUUGAACGCAUAUUGCGCUCGAGGCUUCGGCCGAGAGCAUGUCUGCCUCAGCGUCGAUGUAUCCCUCAUCCCAACCCCACACACUUAUACUGUGUGCUGUUGGCAUGGACCUGGCUGUCCCGGUAUACCAUGCUCACGCUAACAAUGCCGGGUCUGCUGAAGCAUAGAGGCUAAUCAAGGACCCUCACAUGGGCCGCAUCUAGGUAGGCAGCAUCACUGCCUACAUAUUUAGGUGUUGGCUUGGUUGUUGAUUGUUUGCCCUCAAACAGGAACCUUACCACUUACAUUUUCGACCUGAGCUCAGGCAAGAACACCCGCUGAACUUAAGCAUAUCAAUAAGCGGAGGAAAAGAAACUAACCAGGAUUCCCCUAGUAACGGCGAGUGAACCGGGAAUAGCCCAACGUGAAAAUCUCUUCGGAGAAUUGUAGUCUAUAGAAGCGCCCUCUGUAGCGGCGGGACCCCAAGUCUGGUGGAAGCCAGCGUCAGAGAGGGUGACAACCCCGUCGGGUCCACGCUUAGCUGCUUCACGAGGUGCUUUCCACGAGUCGGGUUGUUUGGGAAUGCAGCCCAAAAUUGGAGGUAAAUCCCUUCUAAGGCUAAAUACUGGCGAGAGACCGAUAGCGAACAAGUACCGUGAGGGAAAGAUGAAAAGAACUUUGAAAAGAGAGUUAAAAAGUGCUUGAAAUUGUUGAGGGGGAAGCGCUUGCAAGACGUGGGUGCGCCUAGGCUUACGCGUCUCUAACGAGGCGCUGCAUGUGCUAGGUGCUGGUCAGCAUGGGUUCGUCGGCCGGGAUAACCGCGGGGGUUGAUACCCCGUCUAUGCCGUCUGGUGGACCAAGGUGUGAAUGGCGCUCUGUCCUUCGGGAACUGCGUCAUCAAGAUGCUGGCAGAAGUCUUGCAAUCGGCCCGUCUUGAAACACGGACCAAGGAGUCCAACAUGUAUGCGAGUUGGUGGGUGGCAAACCCAUGAAGCGCAAGUAACCUGACUUUUGGUGGGAAGGGUAAAACCUGCACCAUCGACCGACCAUGAGCUUUUGCGAAAGGUUUGAGUGCGAGCAUACCUGUUGGGACCCGAAAGAUGGUGAACUAUGCCUGAGCAGGGUGAAGCCAGAGGAAACUCUGGUGGAGGCUCGUAGAUGUGCUGACGUGCAAAUCGCUUUUCGGACUUGGGUAUAGGGGCGAAAGACUAAUCGAACCAUCUAGUAGCUGGUUCCCUC